RNAcentral lists this unclassified non-coding RNA (306 nucleotides) under plant metagenome. RNAcentral describes it as "partial contains 5.8S ribosomal RNA, internal transcribed spacer 2, and large subunit ribosomal RNA". The stretch from base 1 to 105 matches the Rfam family "5.8S ribosomal RNA", at positions 50 to 154 of the family's 154-position model. The record is from RNAcentral.
GAAAUGCGAUAAGUAGUGUGAAUUGCAGAAUUCAGUGAAUCAUCGAAUCUUUGAACGCACAUUGCGCCCCUUGGUAUUCCAUGGGGCAUGCCUGUUCGAGCGUCAUCUACACCCUCAAGCUCUGCUUGGUGUUGGGCGUCUUUGUCCCGCCUCCGCGCACGGACUCGCCCCAAAUUCAUUGGCAGCGGUCCUUGCCUCCUCUCGCGCAGCACAUUGCGCUUCUCGAGGUGUUGCGGCCCGCGUCCAGAAAGCAAUCGUUACCGUCUUUGACCUCGGAUCAGGUAGGGAUACCCGCUGAACUUAAGC